Molecule: long non-coding RNA, 603 nt
Organism: Homo sapiens (human)
Lineage: Eukaryota; Metazoa; Chordata; Mammalia; Primates; Hominidae
Exons: 2
Source: RefSeq, a predicted model, not a curated record
UAAUUUAAAUAUCUCAAUUAGCUUUAUUUGUGAUUCUAGAAUCUGGCAGCACUUCAUUCCAUAAAAUAGAACAAGUGUUCCAAUGAGCUGAGCAGAAGAGGUAGGUUUUAUAGACAGAGAAGGGCUGGAGAAAGCAGAAGUAAAGAACAAAAAACAGAUUGGUUCAUUUCAAAGUAACUUUCCAAAAAAUAAAUAAAUAAGUUAAUUUCCUUGUAAAGCAGAACCAAGAAACAAAACAAUAGAGAAAUAACUGAUUGGUUAACAUCAGGUAACUUCAGUUUAUCUUUUUUUGGUAACGAUUAAAGCAGAAGAAAUUUCAUUAUUAUGCUAAUUGAAACUGGCACUCAGGGGAAAUUAGACUCUUAUUAUCUCUUUUUCCUGACUUUUCAGAACUUCAAAUAACAACGUAGUUUCCAUUUGAUGACAUGGAACCUCAGUGAUUUAUACCAUCAGCUCCCCUGCUUCUCAGACCUUUAGACUCAAAUUGAAUUACACCACUGGUUUCCCUGGGUCUCCAGCUUGCAGACAGCAGAUUGUGGGACUUCUUCGCCUCCAUAUCAUGUGAGCCAAUUCUUCAUAAUAAUAAAUCUUCGUAUCCUAUUA